Zophobas morio is the source of this 974-nucleotide RNA transcript. It is a transcript of the gene named cyclic AMP-dependent transcription factor ATF-1-like, with no coding region annotated. The record is from RefSeq and is a predicted model, not a curated record. Lineage: Eukaryota; Metazoa; Arthropoda; Insecta; Coleoptera; Tenebrionidae. The transcript is spliced from 5 exons.
CUGCUCUUUUUCCGCGCUUAAGCCCUGUUGCUGUCGUGGUCUGUCUCUUUAGCGGGCUCAUUUUUAUUCUCAUGUCUGCACUUUUACGCUUUGUUAAUAUAUAAUAGAGAUUAUUUACCCCUACUGUGUGGUUUACCAAUAUCGCCGUGCUAAAAUUACUUAUCCUUUUUUGCAACUUAACUUCGUAUAUAUACUAAGAGUGCUUUUUACCACUUCCGCACGUAUUAUUUCUUUUAGUAGCUUGUACUUCUUUGAAAUAAAUAUUCUGGAACUCAUUCCUUUAUGAACUUUGAACAAAGCUUCAUAGAAGGAGCAGGAUGUCUGACAAGGUUUCAGUGAAGUAUGACUCGGAAAAAGUUUGUUUUUUAAAAGCAUUAUAACUUGCGAUUAAGGGAGUUCCUAUAUUUUUCCUACUGUUGAAAUGUUCUUUUCGCCUUCCUCUAUAACCCUAAAAAAAAUUGGCUAGUUUACGAGAUAGUAUUUUAUAAUUGUUUAUAAAUUUACAACUUUAGUUUACUUAUUGACUCUUAAGAUUUGUAUGGUGUAAAGUUCUAUUUUUUUCUAUAUAACACGGUCUGAAUGUGGCAUCACUUAUAGUAAACGCGACAUAAAUAUUGGCCUAAAGAAGAAUGUCACACCUCACUCCACUAACACUGUAGUCUUAGAGUCGCAAGAACUAAAUUCUGAGAAAGUCGCUGUGGAAAUGAAAAAGGCGCAAAAGCUAGCCAAAAAUAGGAUGGCUGCGAAGGUAUGCCGCGAGAAAAAAAAGUAAGUCGGUUAGGAGUACGUGAAGUGUCUUGAGGAGCGUGUGAAAUUACUGGAGGACCAGAAUGCCUUGUUAUUGCAGGAAUUGAGAAAAUUAAAAAGUUUAUUGGGGACAGAUGAAAAGUAGACUGAAAUAAAUUUGCUCUUAAUUUCCUUACUAGUUGCUUGGUGGGGUCUAUGCGGGCUCAAUAAAUCUUAUUUUCUCUCUA